Sapajus apella (tufted capuchin) is the source of this 989-nucleotide long non-coding RNA. RefSeq lists it as uncharacterized. The record is from RefSeq and is a predicted model, not a curated record. The transcript is spliced from 2 exons. Lineage: Eukaryota; Metazoa; Chordata; Mammalia; Primates; Cebidae.
CCCUGCACUCCAGCCUGGAUGACAGUGAGACUGUCUCAAAACAAAACAAAAACAAGAAUUUUUUUAAAACAACAUUUUCUAUGAGUUAUAAAGGGUCUAAAGUAUUGUUGUUUUUUAUUGGGCAAGCAAAAUGAGCACUAAUUAAGCUUCUGUCUGCUCCCUCCACUCCAACGUCUGAGUCUAAGUUUUACCUUUCUGGUUUAAAUGAAUGGUUAAAUCACUUACUGUAUUUAGAAUUUGAUUUGGGUAAAUUUAAACUGCAAAGGUUCAUGUUUGUUUUUUGUUUUUUAGAAUCAGCUGACCUUUUCUGUAGAUUUCAGGACAUUUUCAAAUGUUUUAGGCACAAUAUUCUCAAAAGGUAGACCACUGAGGUUUUUCUAAGGAAAUUUGGUGUCUACCUUGCAUCACUAGACAGGCUUGGCUUUGGACGUUGAAUGCAGAGCUCUGUCACACUUUUAGAUCUUCAGUGUCACCUGGAAUUUGAGGAAUACUCUUGUUUAUUGGAUGCCAAUUUAGAAUGAGACAUUGAUGGAAGUUCUGGAUUUUGCUAGAGCAGAACGAUGGGUUUAGUACCUGUCUUAGGGAAUGUGAGUCAUUCUUAGAGUCAGAAAACAACUGGUGAUCCCUUUGGAGAACAGUUUGAUUUGCUAGGUACCAAAUAAGGGAGCUCUUCUGUUAAACUUUGCAUCUCUAAAAGAAUACCUUCUUUGUCUUAGAGUCCUACUGGGAGUGAGAAAAGAGACCCAGUAAACAGAGCUCACAGUUAGCUUAGGCUGUUUCCAUGAGGAACCCCCUGCUUGUGGGUGGGAAAUCAACCUUGGCUAGGCUUAAAGGUUAGACAAGAAACUGUUGAGUUUGCCACUUUUUAUACCACACAAGGGUAUCGUUAUCUUGCUCUGUUAUAUUCAUUUCCUCCUCCAAACAGUCUACUGGGGAGAAAGAACAAAGCCAAGCCUGAGAAGCAUCUUGAUGUGGAAAUCUGUAAAAAA